This 362-nucleotide ribosomal RNA is filed under the name uncultured bacterium. RNAcentral describes it as "partial 16S ribosomal RNA". It matches the Rfam family "Bacterial small subunit ribosomal RNA", at positions 338 to 717 of the family's 1533-position model. The record is from RNAcentral.
CCUACGGGAGGCAGCAGUAGGGAAUGUUGCGCAAUGGGCGAAAGCCUGACGCAGCAACGCCGCGUGAUCGAGACGCCCUUCGGGGUGUAAAGAUCUGUCAGUGGGGACGAAACGGGACGGUACCCACAGAGGAAGCACCGGCUAACUCCGGGCCAGCAGCCGCGGUAAUACGGGGGGUGCAAGCGUUGUCCGGAAUCAUUGGGCGUAAAGAGUUCGUAGGCGGCACGUAAAGUCUGGUGUUAAAGGCCGAGGCUCAACUUCUGUACGGCACUUGAUACUUGCGAGCUAGACUGCGGUAGAGGUAACGGGACUUCCUGGUGUAGCGGUGAAAUGCUUAGAUAUCAGGCGUAACAUCGGUGGCG